Molecule: ribosomal RNA, 497 nt
Filed under: uncultured bacterium
Lineage: Bacteria
Description: partial 16S ribosomal RNA
Rfam family: Bacterial small subunit ribosomal RNA
Source: RNAcentral
GAUGAACGCUGGCGGCGUGCCUAAUACAUGCAAGUCGAGCGAACAGACGAGGAGCUUGCUCCUCUGACGUUAGCGGCGGACGGGUGAGUAACACGUGGAUAACCUACCUAUAAGACUGGGAUAACUUCGGGAAACCGGAGCUAAUCCCGGAUAAUAUAUUGAACCGCAUGGUUCAAUAGUGAAAGACGGUUUUGCUGUAACUUAUAGAUGGAUCCGCGCCGCAUUAGCUAGUUGGUAAGGUAACGGCUUACCAAGGCAACGAUGCGUAGCCGACCUGAGAGGGUGAUCGGCCACACUGGAACUGAGACACGGUCCAGACUCCUACGGGAGGCAGCAGUAGGGAAUCUUCCGCAAUGGGCGAAAGCCUGACGGAGCAACGCCGCGUGAGUGAUGAAGGUCUUCGGAUCGUAAAACUCUGUUAUUAGGGAAGAACAAAUGUGUAAGUAACUAUGCACGUCUUGACGGUACCUAAUCAGAAAGCCACGGCUAACUACGUG